Molecule: ribosomal RNA, 253 nt
Filed under: uncultured bacterium
Lineage: Bacteria
Description: partial 16S ribosomal RNA
Rfam family: Bacterial small subunit ribosomal RNA
Source: RNAcentral
UACGUAGGGCGCAAGCGUUAUCCGGAAUUAUUGGGCGUAAAGAGCUCGUAGGCGGUUUGUCGCGUCUGCCGUGAAAGUCCGGGGCUCAACUCCGGAUCUGCGGUGGGUACGGGCAGACUAGAGUGAUGUAGGGGAGACUGGAAUUCCUGGUGUAGCGGUGAAAUGCGCAGAUAUCUGGAGGAAUACUGGUGGCGAAGGCGGCAUCCUGGACCGGCAUUGACGCUGAGGAGCGAAAGCCAGGGGAGCAAACGGG